Molecule: long non-coding RNA, 231 nt
Filed under: Nicotiana benthamiana
Lineage: Eukaryota; Viridiplantae; Streptophyta; Magnoliopsida; Solanales; Solanaceae
Description: long non-coding RNA (NBEN_LNC033064)
Source: RNAcentral
UGUGAGUAGUAGCAGCAGAAUCUACCCACCAAGUAUCCUUAGAUACCGAAAUUAAAUUAACUCCAGAAUAAACAAGAGAAAGAAAUGUACCUUUUUUCGCACGCCAGGCAUUGGUACAAUCUUUCUUUACAUGAUUAGUCCCCUUACAGAAGAAGCAACCUAAUGCAGUAAUUUCAACCUUAGGUUCCUUAUGUUGCUUAAUCUUGGGCUUUGCAACCGCAACUUCCUNNN